ACUUGAGACCGGCGCACGGGUGCGUAACGCGUAUGCAAUCUACCUUUAUCUGGGGGAUAGCCCGAAGAAAUUCGGAUUAACACCGCAUAAAAUCACAGUACGGCAUCGUACAAUGAUCAAAUAUUUAUAGGAUAGAGAUGAGCAUGCGUGUCAUUAGUUAGUUGGCGGGGUAACGGCCCACCAAGACCACGAUGACUAGGGGAUCUGAGAGGAUGACCCCCCACACUGGUACUGAGACACGGACCAGACUCCUACGGGAGGCAGCAGUAAGGAAUAUUGGUCAAUGGAGGCAACUCUGAACCAGCCAUGCCGCGUGCAGGAAGACGGCCCUCUGGGUUGUAAACUGCUUUUAUUCGGGAAUAAACCUACUUACGUGUAAGUAGCUGAAUGUACCGAAGGAAUAAGGAUCGGCUAACUCCGUGC
RNAcentral lists this ribosomal RNA (423 nucleotides) under Pedobacter sp. R2.r. RNAcentral's name for it is "bacterial SSU rRNA". It matches the Rfam family "Bacterial small subunit ribosomal RNA", at positions 87 to 508 of the family's 1533-position model. Lineage: Bacteria; Pseudomonadati; Bacteroidota; Sphingobacteriia; Sphingobacteriales; Sphingobacteriaceae. The record is from RNAcentral.